RNAcentral lists this long non-coding RNA (527 nucleotides) under Ricinus communis (castor bean). RNAcentral describes it as "long non-coding RNA (RCOM_LNC003017)". Lineage: Eukaryota; Viridiplantae; Streptophyta; Magnoliopsida; Malpighiales; Euphorbiaceae. The record is from RNAcentral.
UUUUUAUACAUGGAAGGGCCAAGGGCCAUACCAUAGUAAUCCCUACACUCGCCACCUGGUGCAGAGAUCUGUUUAGUACCAGUACUUAUUCUUGAAUAUACCAAUCAAAUUAUUUCACGCAGGCUGCUUCGAUAUUAAUAUAUUAUAUUAUUUUUGCACUUUGCAAAUUGACCAUCUCAAUAUCUUUUUCUUAAUUUUCCCCUAAAAUAAUUCUCUUAAUUCAAGAUUCUAUCAACCCAAUACUUUUCUCUGCUUUGUUUGGCUGCUUGUUUUGUGGGUUUUUGAUUAUAGCACGCAAAAGGCUUCCUUUUUAUGUGGCCGCCUGCAUGCUGUUGAGAUAACACAAGGCUUGUUGGGUUUAUCGACUUCUUCAAUUUCUAUAUGCAUUUUCUUUGAUUGCUGUCCUGAACUCUCUUUUAACUAUAAACAACGCAGAUACUGCGGAUUGAUUGUUAUGUAGGUGAAUUGGGUUUUUGUUUCUUUUUUAUGGGUCUUUGAAUAAGAAAGAUAAUUGUUUUGUACAUUUN